RNAcentral lists this ribosomal RNA (162 nucleotides) under uncultured bacterium. Its description in RNAcentral is "partial 16S rRNA". It matches the Rfam family "Bacterial small subunit ribosomal RNA", at positions 355 to 510 of the family's 1533-position model. The record is from RNAcentral.
UAGGGAAUCUUCCACAAUGGGCGAAAGCCUGAUGGAGCAACGCCGCGUGUGUGAUGAAGGGUUUCGGCUCGUAAACACUGUUGUAAGAGAAGAAUGACAUUGAGAGUAACUGUUCAAUGUGUGACGGUAUCUUACCAGAAAGGAACGGCUAAAUACGUGCUA